AACGAACGCUGGCGGCAUGCCUAACACAUGCAAGUCGAACGAGACCUUCGGGUCUAGUGGCGCACGGGUGCGUAACGCGUGGGAACCUGCCCUUAGGUUCGGAAUAACUCCCCGAAAGGGGUGCUAAUACCGGAUAAUGUCUUCGGCCCAAAGAUUUAUCGCCUUUGGAUGGGCCCGCGUUGGAUUAGCUAGUUGGUAGGGUAAAAGCCUACCACGGCGACGAUCCAUAGCUGGUCUGAGAGGAUGAUCAGCCACACUGGGACUGAGACACGGCCCAGACUCCUACGGGAGGCAGCAGUGGGGAAUAUUGGACAAUGGGCGAAAGCCUGAUCCAGCAAUGCCGCGUGAGUGAUGAAGGCCUUAGGGUUGUAAAGCUCUUUUACCCGGGAUGAUAAUGACAGUACCGGGAGAAUAAGCUCCGGCUAACUCCGUG
RNAcentral lists this ribosomal RNA (433 nucleotides) under uncultured bacterium. RNAcentral's name for it is "partial 16S ribosomal RNA". It matches the Rfam family "Bacterial small subunit ribosomal RNA", at positions 29 to 507 of the family's 1533-position model. The record is from RNAcentral.